AGUUGCUGAAGCAUGCUUAUCAAUUGAACAUGAGGAUUCAAUUAGUCUGGGAUUGCCUCCCAUAAGUUCUGGAGUGCCUCCUGAUGGCGAUGAUGUCCCACCUGGGGCACUUCUCACAGCACAUUUUCUUUACCAUCUAGCUGCAAAGAUGGACCUGAAAACGGAAAUAUAUUCCCUUGGUGAUUUGUCAAAAACUGUUGGAAAAAUUAUGACAGACAUGUCAAGUCUUUAUGAUGUAGGCCGCCGUAAACGUUCUGCUGGGCUUUUACUCGUAGAUCGCACCCUUGAUCUCCUUACUCCAUGCUGUCAUGGGGAUUCACUGGUUGAUCGCAUGUUUUCAUCUUUGCCCCGAAGAGAAAGAACAUCAUAUUCCCACAUGAAAGGCUCACAAACCCAAGUCAAACUUGGUCCUUCUAUCCUAGAACGUGCUUCUCUUAAUGUUCAGAUACCAC
RNAcentral lists this unclassified non-coding RNA (452 nucleotides) under Hevea brasiliensis (rubber tree). Lineage: Eukaryota; Viridiplantae; Streptophyta; Magnoliopsida; Malpighiales; Euphorbiaceae. The record is from RNAcentral.